CCUACGGGAGGCAGCAGUAAGGAAUAUUGGUCAAUGGGCGCAAGCCUGAACCAGCCAUGCCGCGUGCAGGAAGACGGCCCUAUGGGUUGUAAACUGCUUUUGAACAAGAGAAAACCUCGGUACGUGUACCGAGCUGAUAGUAUUGUUAGAAUAAGCAUCGGCUAACUUCGUGCCAGCAGCCGCGGUAAGACGAAGGAUGCAAGCGUUAUCCGGAUUCAUUGGGUUUAAAGGGUGCGUAGGCGGCCUGAUAAGUCAGUGGUGAAAUCUCUCAGCUUAACUGAGAAACUGCCAUUGAUACUGUCGGGCUUGAGUACAGAUGAUGUGGGCGGAAUAUGACAUGUAGUGGUGAAAUACUUAGAUAUGUCAUAGAACACCGAUUGCGAAGGCAGCUCACAAAACUGUAACUGACGCUGAGGCACGAAAGUGGNGGAGUACAACAGAUAGUAUACCUACGUAGUCGCACGUAACGAUANAUACUCGUUGUUGUNAUAU
Molecule: ribosomal RNA, 492 nt
Filed under: uncultured bacterium
Lineage: Bacteria
Description: bacterial SSU rRNA
Rfam family: Bacterial small subunit ribosomal RNA
Source: RNAcentral